Molecule: ribosomal RNA, 253 nt
Filed under: uncultured bacterium
Lineage: Bacteria
Description: partial 16S ribosomal RNA
Rfam family: Bacterial small subunit ribosomal RNA
Source: RNAcentral
UACGGGGGGGGCAAGCGUUGUUCGGAAUUACUGGGCGUAAAGGGCGCGUAGGCGGCCUGCUAAGUCGGACGUGAAAUCCCUCGGCUCAACCGAGGAACUGCGUCCGAUACUGGUGGGCUUGAAUCCGGGAGAGGGAUGUGGAAUUCCAGGUGUAGCGGUGAAAUUCGUAGAUAUUCGGAAGAACACCAGUGGCGAAGGCGGCUCACUGGACCGGCAUUGACGCUGAGGUGCGAAAGCGUGGGGAGCAAACAGG